GCACCAGAAGCUCAGUGGUUGAGCAUGCGAUUGCAGUCGGAUGACUAUCGCAGGGUCGCCGGUUCAAAUCCGACCUGGUGCU
Non-coding RNA from Hydnum rufescens UP504, 82 nucleotides. The record is from the annotation of a GenBank genome assembly. Lineage: Eukaryota; Fungi; Basidiomycota; Agaricomycetes; Cantharellales; Hydnaceae.